AAGAAUACAGGGGUUCUCAGACGAUUAAUAUGAGGCUAUCAAUAUCUCAUCAAUAUAGAGCGGGCCGCUCGAUAUUGAUGGAUCAAAGAGCUGUGAUUGGUCGCACAAGCUGCGCGCGCAUCAUGACCUUGAUAUAUUGAUAGCUCAUAUUGAUCGUGUGAGAACCCCUUACGCCCGAUCCUAGGUCCAACAGGGUUGCCACAGUCAGCUAUAACAGGGAAAACUGGAAAAUUUCGGGAAAAUGACGGAAGCGUAGAGGGAAAGUUUUUAAAAUCUGAUUACUUGCUCUCUAGAAUGCAUUAGACGCUUCAGACAACAAAUAUUGCAUUGACCAUUCUGCAUAUUGUCAAAUGGCAGGGAAUUCCACCAAAAUUUUUCAGGAAAAUCAGGGAAUUUCAUUCUCUAAUUAUUGCAACAAAGGUGGUCCAAGAGAAGUCAUUUUUUUCUUUUCUUUUCUAGUUGUAUCUUUUUUAUGGUUGCAUUAAUUUUCUUUUGAAAUUUAAUUGGAUAAGGGCUUGGUCUAGGCUUACAAACAGUUGAACUAAAUCAAUAUACUAGAUGCCUAGGCAUAGGAAAAACGUAGGGUAGGGGGAAGGGAAACCUCCUUAUUUCUAGAUGACAGCGAGAGGAAAUUAACUGUCUCAUAUUUUAAUGAACUUCACAAUCCUCUCGUUUUUUUAAGCCUUUGUCUUUGCUAGUAUUAUUUUCAUUGUUCCGAGCUCUUCAAGGUUGUUGAAGUUGUCUUUGGCCAGCAAUUGAGUGAACCUCUUUUUUUAUUUUUCAGUUUCAAGCAUGAAACGGUCACAUGACUGCGUUGAUGAUUGGAUCAAUUCGCUUUGGGGAAGCAGCAGCUGUAGUGAAGAAGAAGAAGACUCCUUCAGUGAGUCAGAAAACAAGGCUGUGAUGACAGAACAAGUUGGUGUUCUAGAAAAAAUUCAAAAUGGUCUUUCAAAGAGCAAUGGUAAAUUCUCUUCCAACAGCAAAAGCAACUCAAGUAGUAAAAACAAAAGAUGGAACAAACAAAUCAUCACAUGCGUUGAAAAGAAGCGCCCAAUACCUCGUACUAGAAAACGUUCAAAACAGUAUUAAAUUUUUCUGCUUAAUGUGCUUUGUAAGUAUUAAAUAAUUUUUACUUUACUCCAUUUAUCCACCGAGGAAUAAUCUUCAACUGACACUGGUUUACAAUAACGUGGGUUCUACUGAAAAAGUUAAUUACCUCUUGAACCCAAUGUGUAUAUUCUGAAUCAUACCUUAUCGUAACAUCGGCAGUUUAUGUUAUGAUUGCCAAGUUUUCCAUGUUUUGCUCUGCCAUAUUUUCCACGUUUAUGUACCAAUUCACCAUCAUUUUUUUGAUGAUACACUAUAGCCUUGUAGGAUGUUUCUUAUCGUGCGGUUUAAGAAAUCUCGUCAGCACUGCCUUCAAGAACAUUCUAAGUACUGGGUCUGUUGUUUGCAGCUAGUGAACAGCGCAGAUUCUGCACUAAAGAGUGAGAUCAGACUAGAGCUCUGUCGUUCAUGACUUGACUCGUUUAUAUGAACGAAUACAGAAAAUGAACGAGUCACGCUUUCAGAUCACGCCAAAUGAUCCGACUAAUUGUGAUCCAUUAAGCGCUGCGUCUCCUCUGAAUAUCUGCGAAGACAAUUAUUUUUUUAAAUGUACAACAAAAUAUUUUAAGAAUUAGCUGAGGAAUGGGAGCACUCACUGAGAGCCACACGACUAAAAUCAAUGGGAUCCUAAGAAAGGAUCGCAUGAUUUGACACAAUCUAGCCGGUCAUAACCUCAUAACAACUCAGCUCGUUCACAUGACCGAGAUGAUCUGUAAACCCUUAUUGUUCGUUCAUUGUUAUUCGUCUUGUUCCACGGCUCAUUUGAUCCAAAAACUCUUAUUCGUUCAUUUUAAAUAUUUUGAUCCGUCUCCUUCUACGGCUCAUUACGGUUCAUGCCCAUGAUCUAACUGAUUUGUUGUUUGGCCCUUAGUCGUAACUACAAAACAGAGUUGAAUUACUUCGCUAUUUUGAAAUUGCUGCGAUCUUCUGGUAUUAAUUACAUGCACAAAGAGAGAGACUGAAGACCAACAGUGAGUAAUAUUUUGAUGCAUGCAAUCUGAUAAAUGGGAUCUAAGAUAAUAAUUGGAUUCAUGUCGAUCGAAAAGUAUACCUACCCAUCGGAUUUUUCGUAUCAUUUUCGGACUUUUUUUCAAAGAUCCAAAAACUUGAUUUCGGACUAAAAUUUUCGGUGGAGCUUUGAUUUACAGAAAUAUAUAUUCAAGCAAAGUCAGACCCAAUAGUUCUGCCCAAAACCAGAUGAAAGCAGUGGAAAAGAGACCUUUACUAAGUACCUCUCUAGUCCUUUCGGGGCAAAAUUUUCAAUACAAUUUGCCAAAUUUUAUUGUUUUAAACCCUUGACAAACGGAUUUGCAUGGAGCACUUUUAGUAGGAUACAGAACUGUAUUUUUACAAAAUUUUAAAUAAAUUACUUGAACCUGCAGUUAUUUUCUGAGUUCUCUAGAAGGAGGAAAUCAUUAGAGGUACAAGAAAAAUUGUAACAUAGUUUUUUAAUAAGUAAGAUCUUAUUUAUUUAGUUAAUGAAAAUUUAAGAAAGAAAAGUUGAGCAACAAAUAUUCUUCUGACAACAAGUUAAAUACCUACAUAAAUAAAAUAAAUAACCAUUGCAUCAGUAGAAAACAAGAAAAAUAAAUUAUUUCCAAAGAAAAUUUAUUUAACCUAAAACAUCACAGGAGAUACUUUAUUGAGGCAUUGAUCAUAACGUUGCAAUUUAUAUGCUAGGGCAGGUACACUUUAGAAGAGUCAGCAUCAAAAGAAAUAAAGGAACAAAAAAAUGAAUACUGUCUAUGACUUGGAAUUAAUUAUAAAUAUCUUGCUGACGCACAAAAUUUAAAGUAAUAAAAAAAAGAAAAAGUAGGAAAAUAAAUUAUCAUGGCAAUCUCUUACUAAUACUGAACAAAAUGCAAGAGACAAUUGGGGGAGGCGUCAGUUAAUGUUCCAAGUAAGGCACUGGGGCAGGUGCACUUAAAAUUUGUAAUAGAGAGAUCAGCGCCAAAGGAGAUCAAGGAACUAAAAACACAGAUUGCCUGUCUCUUGAAGUUAAUUCUAAAUACCCAUCUGACUCUUAAAAUUCAAAUGAAAAAAGAAAUAAGAAAAAUUAGGAAAAUAACCAUGAUAAUUGAUAUUUGACUAUGUUUAGAAGUUCCGAGAAACAUUUGAAGGAGACAUCAAUUAACGUUCCAGUGUAUGUGCUGGAAGAGAUGCAAUUUCACUUUUUGAUAGAAAAAUCAGUAGCAUAGAAUAUAAGGAACUGCCUCUUACUCGGAAUUAAUCUUAAUUUCUGACUGACUCUUAAAAUUUAAAGUGAAAAAUAAACAAGAUAAAUUAUGAAAAUAAGUAACAUCCAUGAUUAUUGCUUAUUUUAAUUAUAGAAAUCACAAGAGACUCUUGAAUGAGGCAUUGGUUAAUUUUUCAAUUUAUUUGCCGGAGCAAAUACAUACGCUAUUACUGGGCAAUAGAAAAAUCACCAACAAAGGAGGUCAAAGAAAUGAGAAGUGAAGAUUGCCAAGGCAUUUGAUACUAAUUCUAAAUAACUACAGAAUACUUACAGUUUUAAUAAAAAAGAAACAUGAGAAGUUAGGAAAAUAAUUAACCAUAGUAAGUAAUUGAUAUAUGACUGACUAUAGAUGUUCCAAGAGACUCUCGAAUUAGGCAUCAGUUGAUAUUCUUCCAAUGUACAUGCUAAAUCAAGUACACAAUCACCAGGCGAUGGACAAAAAGAGGACAUUCGACAAAAGAGGUCAAAGAACGUGAAAUGAAAGUUGCCUGUGUCUUGGAAGUUUUCCAAAAUAACAAAUAUACACAAAAUACAGAGUGAACAAGAAACAAGAAACAUUAGAAAAGUAAAUAAUUUCCAAGGUAACUGAUUUGACUUGCAACAGAAAUCAUAAGAGACCUUUGAAUGAUUCAUCCCUUAACGUUUGAAUUUGUGCAGAGCACCGUCCGCUUAAGUAUUCUCUACAAUAGAAAAGUCAGCACCGGAAGCGGACAGAGAAAGAAUAUUAUAGAUUGUCCGUGUCUAAGUAUUAAUUUCAAGUAUUCAGUAGACUCUUAAAGUUUUUGACAUUAUUUUAAAAAUGAAAAUAUAAAAAGAAAGAAACAAGGAGCUAGAGUUAGGAUGUCAGAAAAAGUAAAUUAUGUACAUGGUAGGUAAUUUAGAUACCUAAACAAAGUUCAAAUUUUGGAAAAAAUAAAUUAUGCCCAUGGUAGGUAAUUUAGAUACCUAAACAAAGUUCAAGUUUAUGAGGUUACUUAGGUACCUAGUUUUUUUUUUCCCUAAAAUAAUUUAGUCAUGAAGAAAUAAGAAGAAGGGGAGAAUAGAGGCAUUGCACGAUUAUCUACAGGAAUGGAUCACUCUUGCAGGAU
This 4431-nucleotide long non-coding RNA is filed under the name Bemisia tabaci. RNAcentral's name for it is "lncRNA ENSSSA1NGG012319". The record is from RNAcentral. Lineage: Eukaryota; Metazoa; Arthropoda; Insecta; Hemiptera; Aleyrodidae.